AUGGCGGAGAUUAGUGUUCACAGAGUCCUUCUUUUGGCUUUUUCUCUGGCAAAGUGUCUGGAGGGUACAAAACUGCUGGCACAUCUUAAAAAGUGUGGUGACUUGGAAUGUGAAACUUUACUCAGCAGAGCCUUAGCUGUGAGAGAUCACAUGGGACCUGACUGCCGAUUCCUGAACUUCACUGAGGGAGAAGAGAUAGCUGUUUAUGUCAAACUUGCAGGCGAGAGAGAAGAUCUGUGGGCAGGAAGUAAAGGAAAGGACUUUGGAUUUUUUCCCAGAGAUGCAGUCCAGACCGAAGAGGUGUUCAUAUCUGAAGAAAUUGAAAUGUCAACUAAAGAAUCUGACUUUCUUUGUCUUCUUGGUGAAAGCUACAUGUUUGGAAGUGAGGAUAGCAAGUUCAGCACUGAUAAUGGUGAAAAUUUAUAUCCAUUUGAAGAAGAUGAAGACCAAAAAUAUAGUAUAUAUGAAAGUGAUUUCCAGAUAGAAUCUGAACUUUAUGCAACGUCUGAAAGUACUUUGUUUGAAGACCAGUUUUCGGCAUCAGAGGCUCCUGAAGAUACCAGAAGUGCCAGUGAGUCAAAGGACUGGGAAGAAGUAAAAGCUGGAGGUAUGGAACAGAAUCAUGUUCCAAAAGGGGAUCAUGUCUUGACAUCCUUAACUAUGUCUGAAGUACAAGGAUGGUUUGGACUGGGGAAGGAACAAACUGAAGAGGCUUUUGAAUCAGCUAUUGAACAAGGAAGCUCAUUUCAAAGCAGAACAACAGCAGUGGAAGAUGAGAAUGAUCUACCAGAAUUAAAUAAUGGUGAGCCCCAAACAGAGCAUAGGCAAGAAUCUGAAUCUGAAUUUGGUUCAGAGUCACCAGAAUUUGACUUGGGGUCAGAGAAACAGUCUGAAUUAGCAUUGGAGUCAAAUCAUAUUCUUAAAUCUCAAGCCACUGGUUGGUUUGAUGGUGGAUUUACAAGUUACUUAGGUUUUGGAGAGGAGGAUACAGGACUUGAGUUAUUGUCCAAAGAAAGCCAUCAACCACUACAAGAUGUUCCCAGUGCCAUAUUAUCUGACGAAGAAGCAACAGUUCCACAUACAGAAAUCUUAACAGAAAAAGAAGACAUAAUCAUUAAUGAUAGCUCAAUUCUCAAGCCAAGUUGGUUUGAUUUUGGUUUUGGUAUGCUAGGUUUUACAUAUGCCAAUGAAGAUAAAAUUGCAUCAGAUGACAAAAAAAACAAAGAAGAUGGUGGGGUAGAUAAACAUGAACAUUCUCCAGCAAGUGAAUUUGACCCUGACAAAGAACAAGAAAUAAAAAUGAUGAAAAUUAUGGAAACAGAAGAUCAAACAGGUAAGUGAAGAGUCUUAAGAGAAAAUAGAUGAUUCUGAUACCAUACUAUCUUUGAAAAAAUCUUACACAAUUUUGAUAAUCCUUGGAGCUUCCAGAACAUUCCAAAGGAAAUAAUCAUUAUUUCCCAAGCAGAUACUAGAUAAUAAUAUGCUUGAAAAUGAUGAAACAGAAGAAUAUUCAGUUGAAAAUUAUCCCACAGAUUAUGUGAAAGAUGUUAGGAUAUUGAAAAGCAGAUAUAGCCAGUCAGAUAUGGUCUCUGAAACAGAGUUAUCUAUGAGAAUUCAUGAAGAAAUAUAUCAGAAAACCUCACCUUCUAAAAGUAAUGAAAAAUCAACAUCAGUAGACUCUGAAGGGUCUGCGCAGGUGGAAGCAGACAGCUCUGAGGGAAAUAUUCUGUUGAACAGCCAGAUGGUUGCAAUGGACGGCUCUUUGCUUUCUGAAAAUGACAUUCUUCAGAAAGAAGAUGCUACAGAGUUUUGGAUUCUGAAAUACUUGUUUCAACUUGAUGUUUAUGAUGUCAUGAAUUCUGCAUUUUCACCAAUUCUAAUUCUUAUGGAAAGGGUUGUGGAAGCACUGCCUGAAGACAUGAGAUCAGGUCCCACCCCUGAUGGUUUUCCAUGGGAACUGGUCACAGGUGGAGCGAUCGUUGGAUUUUUUGCUUUUUUCUUAUUCUUGUGGAGAACUGUUCGGUCGGUUAGAAGCCGGCUUUAUGUGGGAAGAGAAAAAAAGCUUGCCUUAGAGCUUUCUGAACUAAUUGAAGAAAAAUGUAGACUACUUGAAAAACUUAGAGUUGUCCAAAAAGAGUAUGAAGGCUUAGAGUCAUCUUUAAAGGAUACCAGCUUUGAGAAGGAGUCAGCAGAAGCACAAAGUUUGGAGGCAAACUGUGAAGAACUGGAUAGGACAAAAUCUAAACUUGAAGAUGAAAUACUCUUUCUAGAAGAACAACUAGAAGAAGAAAAAUCUAAACAUUCUGAACAAGAUGAAUUGAUGGAAGAUAUUUUAAAAAGGAUACAGUCCCUAGAAGAUAAAUCAGAAUCUCUCAAAUCACAAGUAGCUGAAGCUAAAACAACCUUGAGGAUAUUUCAAAUCAAUGAAGAACGACUUACAAUAGCAAUAAAAGAUACUGUGAAUGAAAAUUCCCAGCUUCAGGAGAGCCAGAAAAAGCUCUUACAAGAAACUGAAGUAUGGAAAGAAAAAGUGAGUGAACUUAAUAAACAGAAAAUGAUACUCGAAGAUUCCAAAAUGCAUGCAGAACAAGUUCUAAAUGAUAAAGAGAAUCAUAUCAAGUCUCUGACUGAACAAUUGCUAAAGAUGAAAGAUUGGGCUGCCGUGCUUGGAGAAGACAUGACAGAUGAUGGUAACUUGGAUUUGGAAAUGAAGAGUGAAGCAGAAAAUGGUGCUCACUUAGAUGAUCAGCCAAAAGGAGCUCUGAAGAAACUGAUUUAUGCUGCUAAGUUAAAUGCUUCUUUGGAAGCCUUAGAAGAAGAAAGAAACCAAAUUUAUACUCAAUUAUCUGAAGUAGAUAAAACAAAGGAAGACCUUACAGAGCAUAUUAAAGCUCUCCAGACUAAACAAGCUUCUCUGCAGUCAGAAAAUGCAGAGUUAGAAAGUGAGAAUCAAAAGCUUCACCAGAAACUUAAAGUAAUGACUGAACUAUAUCAAGAAAAUGAAAUGAAACUCCACAGGAAACUAACAGUAGAGGAAAAUUACCGGCUUGAUAAAGAGGAGAAACUUUCCAAAACAGAUGAAAAAAUCAACUGUGCAGCUGAGGAGCUGAAGACAUAUAGAAAGCGAGCUAAAGAUCUUGAAGAAGAACUGGAGAGAACCAUUCAGUCUUACCAAGGGCAGAUCAUUUCCCAUGAGAAAAAAGCACAUGAUAAUUGGUUGGCAGCUCGUACUGCUGAAAGAACCCUCACUGAUUUAAGGAAAGAAAAUGCUUACCACAGACAAAAAUUAACCGAAACAGAGUUUAAAUUUGAACUUUUAGAAAAAGAUCCUUACGCACUUGAUGUUCCAAAUACAGCAUUUGGCAGAGAGCAUUCCCCAUAUGGUCCCUCACCAUUUGGUCGACCUUCGUCUGAAACGAGAGCUUUUCUCUCUCCUCCAACUUUGUUGGAGGGUCCACUCAGACUCUCACCUUUGCUUCCAGGGGGAGGAGGAAGAG
Castor canadensis (American beaver) is the source of this 3497-nucleotide non-coding RNA. NCBI's taxonomy places the organism in Eukaryota, Metazoa, Chordata, Mammalia, Rodentia, Castoridae. The record is from RefSeq and is a predicted model, not a curated record.